RNAcentral lists this ribosomal RNA (304 nucleotides) under uncultured bacterium. RNAcentral's name for it is "partial 16S ribosomal RNA". It matches the Rfam family "Bacterial small subunit ribosomal RNA", at positions 506 to 807 of the family's 1533-position model. The record is from RNAcentral.
CAGCAGCCGCCGCGGGAAUACGUAGGGUGCGAGCGUUAAUCGGAAUUACUGGGCGUAAAGCGUGCGCAGGCGGUGAUGUAAGACAGUUGUGAAAUCCCCGGGCUCAACCUGGGAACUGCAUCUGUGACUGCAUCGCUGGAGUGCGGCAGAGGGGGAUGGAAUUCCGCGUGUAGCAGUGAAACGCGUAGAUAUGCGGAGGAACACCGAUGGCGAAGGCAAUCCCCUGGGCCUGCACUGACGCUCAUGCACGAAAGCGUGGGGAGCAAACAGGAUUAGAGACCCGUGUAGUCCCUGUCUCUUAUAC